This 253-nucleotide ribosomal RNA is filed under the name uncultured bacterium. Its description in RNAcentral is "partial 16S ribosomal RNA". It matches the Rfam family "Bacterial small subunit ribosomal RNA", at positions 524 to 776 of the family's 1533-position model. The record is from RNAcentral.
AACGUAGGGGACAAGCGUUAUCCGGAUGUACUGGGCGUAAAGCGCAUGUAGGUGGCGCUGAAAGUUGGACGUGAAAGCUCCUGGCUUAACUGGGAGAGGUCGUUCAAAACUACAGUGAUUGAGGUUGGAAGAGGAGAGCGGAAUUCCCGGUGUAGUGGUGGAAUGCGUAGAUAUCGGGAGGAACACCAGUGGCGAAAGCGGUUCUCUGGUUCACACCUGACACUGAGAUGCGAAAGCGUGGGGAGCGAACGGG